This 492-nucleotide ribosomal RNA is filed under the name uncultured bacterium. Its description in RNAcentral is "partial 16S ribosomal RNA". It matches the Rfam family "Bacterial small subunit ribosomal RNA", at positions 29 to 507 of the family's 1533-position model. The record is from RNAcentral.
AGUGAACGCUGGCGGUAGGCCUAACACAUGCAAGUCGAACGGCGGCACAGUAAGAGCUUGCUCUUACGGGUGGCGAGUGGCGGACGGGUGAGGAAUACAUCGGAAUCUACUUUUUCGUGGGGGAUAACGUAGGGAAACUUACGCUAAUACCGCAUACGACCUACGGGUGAAAGCAGGGGAUCUUCGGACCUUGCGCGAUUGAAUGAGCCGAUGUCGGAUUAGCUAGUUGGCGGGGUAAAGGCCAACCAAGGCGACGAUCCGUAGCUGGUCUGAGAGGAUGAUCAGCCACACUGGAACUGAGACACGGUCCAGACUCCUACGGGAGGCAGCAGUCGGGAAUAUUGGACAAUGGGCGCAAGCCUGAUCCAGCCAUACCGCGUGGGUGACGAAGGCCUUCGGGUUGUAAAGCCCUUUUGUUGGGAAAGAAAAGCAGCAGGUUAAGACCCCGCUGUUCUGACGGUACCCAAAGAAUAAGCACCGGCUAACUUCGUG